GACGGACGCUGGCGGCGUGCUUAACACAUGCAAGUCGAACGGAAAGGCCCUGCUUUUGUGGGGUGCUCGAGUGGCGAACGGGUGAGUAACACGUGAGUAACCUGCCCUUGACUUUGGGAUAACUUCAGGAAACUGGGGCUAAUACCGGAUAGGAGCUCCUGCUGCAUGGUGGGGGUUGGAAAGUUUCGGCGGUUGGGGAUGGACUCGCGGCUUAUCAGCUUGUUGGUGGGGUAGUGGCUUACCAAGGCUUUGACGGGUAGCCGGCCUGAGAGGGUGACCGGCCACAUUGGGACUGACAUACGGCCCAGACUCCUACGGGAGGCAGCAGUGGGGAAUAUUGCACAAUGGGCGGAAGCCUGAUGCAGUAACGCCGCGUGCGGGAUGACGGCCUUCGGGUUGUAAACCGCUUUCGCCUGUGACGAAGCGUGAGUGACGGUAAUGGGUAAAGAAGCACCGGCUAACUACGUG
RNAcentral lists this ribosomal RNA (468 nucleotides) under uncultured bacterium. RNAcentral's name for it is "partial 16S ribosomal RNA". It matches the Rfam family "Bacterial small subunit ribosomal RNA", at positions 28 to 507 of the family's 1533-position model. The record is from RNAcentral.